RNAcentral lists this long non-coding RNA (299 nucleotides) under Mytilus galloprovincialis (Mediterranean mussel). The record is from RNAcentral. Lineage: Eukaryota; Metazoa; Mollusca; Bivalvia; Mytilida; Mytilidae.
CAGGUUUUUAACCAGUUGUUUAUAUCUUAUAUGAAGUGGUGUUCUCUUUGACAAACAUUUAGAUAACAACUUGUCUCAGCAUAGCUUCAAUGUACAAAGUAAAUAAACCAACAUACAAAGCUUAAACGACAAUUUAAAACUGAAAGUCCUUGAACAAAAGGCAAAAUCAAAGUUCAAAUAUCAAAUAAAUGGAAAAACACUUGUUAUAAGCCUUACUUGGCACAGGCGUUUCUUUGUCUGUGUCAGUGUGGCAAAUUUAGACUUACAGCUUGCUUUUUUCUCACUUGUAUAACAGCCGC